GAUGAAGAACGUAGCGAAAUGCGAUAAGUAGUGUGAAUUGCAGACUUUAGUGAAUCAUCGAAUCUUUGAACGCACAUUGCGCCCAUUAGUAUUCUAGUGGGCAUGCCUGUUCGAGCGUCAUUAAUUCCACUUAAGCCCUGCUUAGUGUUGGGAAUCUACUCUAGUGGUGCUACCCUGGAGCUACCCCUGAAAGGGGGCUGGCCCGGUAGCUACCCUGUAGUUCCUCAAAGAUAGUGCGCGGAGUUGCGUGGUCCUCUGAGCUUAGUAACUAUACACCUAGCUUUUGAGUGUCCCGCGGCGCCUGCCGUUUAAACCCCAUCUUUUAAUGGUUGACCUCGGAUCAGGUAGGAAUACCCGCUGAACUUAAGCAUAUCAAUAAGCGGAGGA
Molecule: unclassified non-coding RNA, 387 nt
Filed under: soil metagenome
Description: partial contains 5.8S ribosomal RNA, internal transcribed spacer 2, and large subunit ribosomal RNA
Rfam family: 5.8S ribosomal RNA (bases 1-120)
Source: RNAcentral